CCUUUGUGCUCCCACCAUUUUUGACAAUGCCCUGCCACUCCUGCGUCCUUAUUCACUGACCAACCAAAAUUAAUACAAGGUGUCACCCUUUUUUGGGUUUGGAUGAUGGGUUUCUUGGUUGGAUUUAAGUUAGAAUUUGGAUAUUUGAUUGAAUGUUUCGUGGGUAUCAAAUGAUACCGGAUCUCAAAUUUAAAAUUGAAGAUAUUUCCAGGUGAU
RNAcentral lists this long non-coding RNA (216 nucleotides) under Elaeis guineensis (African oil palm). Its description in RNAcentral is "long non-coding RNA (EGUI_LNC012686)". Lineage: Eukaryota; Viridiplantae; Streptophyta; Magnoliopsida; Arecales; Arecaceae. The record is from RNAcentral.